Molecule: ribosomal RNA, 414 nt
Filed under: uncultured microorganism
Description: bacterial SSU rRNA
Rfam family: Archaeal small subunit ribosomal RNA
Source: RNAcentral
CAGCCGCCGCGGUAAUACCGGCGGCCCGAGUGGCGGUCACUAUUAUUGGGCUUAAAGCGUCCGUAGCCGGGUUGGGAAAUCCUCCGGGAAAUCUGGCCGCUUAACGGUCAGAAUGCCGGGGGAUACUCCCAGCCUAGGGAGCGGGAGAGGCCGAGGGGAUUCCCGGAGUAGGGGUGAAAUCCUAUAAUCCCGGGAGGACCACCUGUGGCGAAGGCGCUCGGCUGGAACGCGUCCGACGGUGAGGGACGAAGGCCAGGGGAGCAAACCGGAUUAGAUACCCGGGUAGUCCUGGCUGUAAACGAUGCGGACUUUGUGUCGGACAAGCUAUGAGCUUGUCCGGUGCCGGAGGGAAACCGUUAAGUCCGCCGCCUGGGGAGUACGGCCGCAAGGCUGAAACUUAAAGGAAUUGGCGGG